Long non-coding RNA from Passer montanus (Eurasian tree sparrow), 2037 nucleotides. RefSeq lists it as uncharacterized. The record is from RefSeq and is a predicted model, not a curated record. The transcript has 2 exons. Lineage: Eukaryota; Metazoa; Chordata; Aves; Passeriformes; Passeridae.
UUCCCCUUCUUCUUCCCUCCAGCUUCCUCUCCCAAGAGGAGGGUUCUGAUUUAGGAGCAGGGCUGUCAGAUUAAGCCCUUUUCUGACCCAGACACAUUCUUCACAUUUUUCUUGUGGCGAAAGCUGAUAGGCCAAGAAACACUUAUAAUGUAUUGUAAUUAGGAAACUGUUGGCUUCUGAUUGUGAUGGUGUGAGUUAUAACAUCUGUAUUGUCUCACCCUUCUAAUGAGACUGAAAAUGGAAUAAAAGUUUUUAAAAUUCCUCUCAGUUGCCCCAUCUCUGGGCCAGGAAAAGGCUUAAUCCGACAGAGGGGUGUUUUAGAGUAUGAAAGCUCAAAAUUGAGAAAGUCACGUUCCUGUGUGUGGUGUGGCCGGGCUCUCUGCUCAAGUCUGGGGAUUCUAGAGACAAUUUUACUUUUCUUGCUGUCACUCACUGCUUGCUGCCAGCCACAGUGUUUCAGGGUGAUGCAGGAUGGCACAGCUGGCAGAGCAUGGGCAGGAUUGUGAGCUCUGGAGGAGGGGUUGGAUUCAUGGCACCCUGAGCACUGUUGGUGUGCAAGGAUGAACCUGUGUGAACAGGAACCAUUUGCACUUCUCUUAGUGAGGUGUUUAAAAAGUCUGCUGGCCUGAAGCUCCCAACUACUCUGACUUAGUGAGUUUGGGUGACCCUUUACAUCUUCCCAGAGUUUAUCUAUCUUCAUGUAUGUGAGUAUUUAGAAUACCUCUAAUUUGUUUCUGUAAUUAUAACAUCAGCAAGGGAGCUUUGCCACUGUUGUUGUUCUGGUACUAAAUAUUCCCUGGUGCUUUCCCAGAGUUAGAGUAUGACUUUUUUAUUUUUACUUCUAAAGAAGAAACUAAUCUAAUUACUCCAAGACAAAGAUGGAACUAACAAAUUUCAUUGCUCUGUUUGAGCUGAGGUUAUAAGUGAAAGAUCAUCAGUAAAUAUUUUAUUUUCUGUAGUGGUUUUGCAGUUAGAGUUGAAGCCUUAUGUCAUGGCCAUUGCUAGCAUGGUACCAUUCUCAAUUUCAGGGGGAAAGAAAGCCAUCUUCAGUUUUUUUCUGCGUGAUGCUUCUGAUUUUUAACAGGGUAAAUACAUAGUCAGGAACAGAGGCUGAAGUUUUUCUAACUGUAGAAGAAAAUGCUGUUGCCACUGGUCUUCACUUCUGUUAACUUCAGCAGCCUCACAACUUCAACAAACAAGCCUUGUUUGUUUGUAAAUAUGUCCCAGAUGAAUUCCUUAUUAUUCCAAAGGAUAGUUGUGUCUAUUUGUAGCACUGGGUUCCUCGCAGGCUGUUUGUUACAUUCCCAGCCCUAAGCUGUGUGCACAUCCCUGAGCUGUAACUUUAGGUGUGAAUUUAAAGGCCUGGCUGAUGAAUAUUUUGGACCAGAACGAGGUGUGCAAUGUCUUGUUGACUUGAUUCCUUGCAGGAGCCUGUGGAGCUGCAGUGGGAAUGGGGUGCAGCUACAAAAAGCCUGAUUAGGAGUUUGCUUAGUGGGAAGGUUUGGCCAGAGAGGUUUGAGGGUGUCCCCAGAGGGAGGUGAAAGGCAGAGCUCUGUGCCCUGGGGAGGCUUUGGAACCCUUGGGGGAGAGAGGGUUGAUGGCCCUGUGUGUGCUGUCUCAGCUUGUAACUGCUGUUCCUAAAGUUAGAGAUCUCCCAGGAUUCAAAUCAGGAGAGACCAAAGCUCUGCACCGUGCCUUGCUUGUGGGCUUUGCCUCUUGCUGGGGUUUGUUUAUUGCUUACUCUGCUUUUGCAGGUUAGAGAAGUGUUUGCUGGCUGUCAGGUAUUGACUGCCUGGUGAUCAUUCUACUUGUUAUUUGCAUUGUUCCCUCUCAACUAAACUUUGUAUUGACUUCUAGUGAAGAAAAAAAAGAAACCCUGUUGUCUUUUGCUGUUAGGAUAAAGGUAUUUAGACUUUCUCUUUGUAAUCUGGCUGUAUUCCAACAUGCUUAGGAAAGAAUCAGUGCCAGAACCAGUUCUGCCCUGUAAUUUGGGUACAUCCAUGUCCAAUUCGCCAAAAAUAGAAAAGAAUUUAUCUG